Molecule: ribosomal RNA, 497 nt
Filed under: uncultured bacterium
Lineage: Bacteria
Description: partial 16S ribosomal RNA
Rfam family: Bacterial small subunit ribosomal RNA
Source: RNAcentral
GAUGAACGCUGGCGGCGUGCCUAAUACAUGCAAGUCGAGCGAACAGACGAGGAGCUUGCUCCUCUGACGUUAGCGGCGGACGGGUGAGUAACACGUGGAUAACCUACCUAUAAGACUGGGAUAACUUCGGGAAACCGGAGCUAAUACCGGAUAAUAUAUUGAACCGCAUGGUUCAAUAGUGAAAGACGGUUUUGCUGGCACUUAUAGAUGGAUCCGCGCCGCAUUAGCUAGUUGGUAAGGUAACGGCUUACCAAGGCAACGAUGCGUAGCCGACCUGAGAGGGUGAUCGGCCACACUGGAACUGAGACACGGUCCAGACUCCUACGGGAGGCAGCAGUAGGGAAUCUUCCGCAAUGGGCGGAAGCCUGACGGAGCAACGCCGCGUGAGUGAUGAAGGUCUUCGGAUCGUAAAACUCUGUUAUUAGGGAAGAACAAAUGUGUAAGUAACUAUGCACGUCUUGACGGUACCUAAUCAGAAAGCCACGGCUAACUACGUG